UACGUAGGGAGCAAGCGUUAUCCGGAUUUAUUGGGUGUAAAGGGUGCGUAGAUGGACAAACAAGUUGGUUGUGAAAUACCUCGGCUCAACUGAGGAACUGCAACCAAAACUGUAGGUCUUGAGUACUGGAGGGGAAAGCGGAAUUCCUAGUGUAGCGGUGAAAUGCGUAGAUAUUAGGAAGAACACCGGUGGCGAAGGCGGCUUUCUGGACAGAAACUGACAUUGAGGCACGAAAGUGUGGGGAGCAAACAGG
Molecule: ribosomal RNA, 253 nt
Filed under: uncultured bacterium
Lineage: Bacteria
Description: partial 16S ribosomal RNA
Rfam family: Bacterial small subunit ribosomal RNA
Source: RNAcentral